Molecule: long non-coding RNA, 2295 nt
Organism: Peromyscus californicus insignis
Lineage: Eukaryota; Metazoa; Chordata; Mammalia; Rodentia; Cricetidae
Exons: 2
Source: RefSeq, a predicted model, not a curated record
UUUUUUUUUUUUUUUCUCUGUAAAGCAAAUCCAGGUGUGAUAGAGGUAGACAGAAGGCCAGAAGGCGGAAAGGGAAGAGGUAGGGACGCGGGAGACAAACAGAAGCAGAUGGGUAAAGUGAAGGGGAGGAACAAAGACUGAUUUAUGAAAGAUGCAAGAAAACGGUGGACGUGGAAAACUGAAUAAACUGAUUACUGUCUCCACACUCUGCUUCUUCUCUGGUCUCCAGCCUUGGAAUCUGAAAAGCUGGGUUUGAAUCUUGCUCUUGAUCGUGUAGCUUUGGGAAAGUCACUUUACUUCCUGGAGCCUCGACUGUGCUUAUUUGUAAGGACGGAACUCAACACCAGAUUUACACGGUGCUGCUGCGUGUGACAAAAUACUUAAGAAAAGCAGUCCGUGGGGAAAGAGAUUGAUUUUGGCUCAGGGGUUCAGAAGUUUUGAUCCUUAGCUCCAUUGCUUUGGCCGUGAGGAAAGGCAGAACGCAAUGGUGGCUGGGUAAAGGGUAUUUGCUUGUUGGCUCAUAGAAAGCAGAGCGGGAGGAAGGGGCAGAGGACAAGAUGCAUUGUCCAAGGUAUGCCACAGGGACAUAUUUUCUCCAACUAGGCCCCACACCCUCUCUUUCACCAUGUUCCAAUAAUGUCAUCACAUUAUGAAUCCAUUGAUUAGAUCGAAGCCCUCAGAAUCCAAUCACUUCACAAAAGUCCAUCAGCUGGUAAGCAAGCUCCACUACAGGAGCCUGUAAAGGGCAUUUCUUAUUUAAACAGAGCAGAUAUGCUCAUAUGAAACAUUUUCUUGUACGUAUAUUAGUGCUGUGCUUGAGUCUUCAUUUAGGCUUCCCUGGUCAGGAGUUUGAAAUUCUCCAUUUGUUCUCUGUAGCUUUAGGGACCUCACAGUUUUCCUAGUUAGAUGCCUUAGCUUACUGACCACCACUAACCCCCAAGGCCUCGUGAAUGGAUAAAGAUGAUUCUAAGGACAGAAUCUACAAAUAAUCAACCAUAGUUAAUGCUCAGACUCAUCCCUCCUCUACAAUUCCAGCCAUUAGAACAAGUAAUCACAGCAUCUCCCAAGUGUAAAACUUCUCCAUUGAUACCAUUGAAAAUAGACUCUCUGAUCCUGGUCGUAUGUUAGAAUGAUCUAAUUCUCAAUGAAAAAAUAUACAUAUAUAAAGGUUCCUUGUAAUUGCAGGCAUUUUUGUGGGGUUGUGUGUGUGUGUGUUGUUUGUUUGUUUGGUUGGUUUUUGAGACAGGGUUUCUCUGUGUAGUCCUGUCUAUCCUGGAACUCACUCUGUAGACCAGGCUGGCCUCAAACUCAUGGAGAUCCGCCUGCCUCUGCCUUCCUAGUGCUGGGACUAAAGGCAUGCACCACCACUGCCCAGCGGGUUCCUUGUAAUUGUAAAGUGCUUUAAAGCAUUAAAUAUUAGCAAUAAUAAUUAUUAAAUAAAGUACUAUAGAUGUAUAUAUAGAGAGAUAUAGAUAGACAACUUCCCAUAGGCAAGAGAAUAAUUUUCUGCAUGUGUGUGGGUGUUUCGCCUGCAUGUUUGUGUACCAUGUGUAUACCUGGUGCCCGAAGAACAGAAGAGAGCGUCAGAUCCCCUGCAACUGGAGUUAUCGACAGUUGUCAGCCACCAUGUGGUUGCUGGGAAUUGAACUAAGCCCUCUGAAAGAGCAGCCACUGAGCCAUCCCUCCAGUCCCAUAAGUCCAGGAACUGCCAGCUGCUGAGAAGGGAGAGAAGGAAGAAGAGACUCACCGUUCCCUGCCCAGCCCCAGCCCCACACCCAGAGCAAUCAACAGGUAGGCAAGCUUCAGACACUAUUCAGGAGUCCUGUGAACAGCAGACAGGUUGGAGCCUGGAAUGGAGGAAGAAAAAUGAAAGAUCAAAGGUGAAGUAGGGGAUAGGGUAGAGGAGGGGAAAAAAAAAAAAACAGGGCCCCAUGAGAAAUGGAGGCAGGAAAUAGUCAAGCUGAAGACUUGGGGACAGUGUGUGUGGGAGACAGUACAGAUGGAAUAAGAGCUAAUAGUUCCCUGAUUCUUCCCAAGUAAUCCUUUCUCAACCUUGUUAGGAAAGGAUAGGUGUAGCAGGAAGUUGGUUCCCUGGUCCUCUUCCUGGUUCUUAGGAAAAGGUGACCUUGGGAGGCAGGCAUCGGGUGUGCUCUUCCUCUAGUGUGUUCUCUCAACCUUCCUCUGGUAUCUGUUUAUUCUGUGGUUUUCCUGAGGCUGCCUCUCCUGGGUAAAAUGGAGAGAUUGUGUGCAGAUCGAAUUCAGAGAAGAGGCUGGGCAAUGUCACCCCCCCCCCCC